CAUAUGAUAAUGAACUUCCUAAACUCUGUAUCCUGCUUUUGUCCUCCAGACCAGACUGGAUUUGUUUGUAGCAGUCAGGUGACCUGGCCACGCCUUCAAGAACUUCAAAAAGAGUUUCCAUGUUUCAGUGUUAAACGUCCCAUCAGAAGGAUUUCUUACAGAUUUCUUACAUAAUUCAUCGUGUUCCAGGUUUCACUUUAUUUUGGAAGAUGGAGCAGCGAAGUCUCCUGGAGAAUGAACAACUUCUACUUCUUCUUCUUCUGCAUUGUGAAAGUUGGAUGGAGUUCGGCGGGGCUGUAACCUGAGCUCAGGCCAUGGACCGUGAAGACUCCACAGAGGAGCCAAUGGACCUGGAAGAGUCUACAGAGGAGGCCAUGGACAUGCAGGCCAUGGACCUGGAAGACUCCACGGAGGAGUCCAUGGACGUGGAUGACUCCACAGAAGAGCCCAUGGACGUGCAGGAAAUGCCGUGGGGGCACGAGGCUAACAGCGCUAACCAUGCUAAUGGUGUAUUCCAUGCUGUCACUCAAGAAGAUCAGC
Molecule: long non-coding RNA, 540 nt
Organism: Ictalurus punctatus (channel catfish)
Lineage: Eukaryota; Metazoa; Chordata; Actinopteri; Siluriformes; Ictaluridae
Source: Ensembl